This 165-nucleotide unclassified non-coding RNA is filed under the name uncultured fungus. Its description in RNAcentral is "partial contains 5.8S ribosomal RNA and internal transcribed spacer 2". The stretch from base 1 to 122 matches the Rfam family "5.8S ribosomal RNA", at positions 22 to 154 of the family's 154-position model. Rfam says of the family: 5.8S ribosomal RNA (5.8S rRNA) is a component of the large subunit of the eukaryotic ribosome. The record is from RNAcentral. Lineage: Eukaryota; Fungi.
UGGUUCUGGCAUCGAUGAAGAACGCAGCGAAAUGCGAUAAGUAGUGUGAAUUGCAGACUUUAGUGAGCCGGCCCGAGCGCAGCACAGCGAGCGCCCGGGCGCGCGCGCCUGUCCCCACGCAGACGUCUGUCGAUCGACCUCGAAUCAGGUAGGGAUACCCGCUGA